RNAcentral lists this ribosomal RNA (420 nucleotides) under Fusobacteriota bacterium. RNAcentral describes it as "Fusobacteria bacterium partial 16S ribosomal RNA". It matches the Rfam family "Bacterial small subunit ribosomal RNA", at positions 355 to 775 of the family's 1533-position model. The record is from RNAcentral. Lineage: Bacteria; Fusobacteriati; Fusobacteriota.
UGGGGAAUAUUGCACAAUGGACGGAAGUUUGAUGCAGCGACGCCGCGUGGAGGGUGUAGGCCUCCGGGUUGUGAACUCCUUUUUCUCUCGAAAAAGGCACAGUUUUGGCUGUGUUGAUGGUAGUGGGGGAAGAAGCGCCGGCUAACUACGUGCCAGCAGCCGCGGUAAUACGUAGGGCGCGAGCGUUGUCUGGAUUUAUUGGGAGUAAAGAGCUCGUAGGUGGUUCGUCGCGUCUGUCGUGAAAGCCAGCAGCUUAACUGUUGGUCUGCGGUGGGUACGGGCGGGCUUGAGUGCGGUAGGGGUGACUGGAAUUCCUGGUGUAGCGGUGGAAUGCGCAGAUAUCAGGAGGAACACCGAUGGCGCAGGCAGGUCACUGGGCCGUUACUGACACUGAGGAGCGAAAGCGUGGGGAGCGAACAG